RNAcentral lists this ribosomal RNA (367 nucleotides) under uncultured organism. RNAcentral's name for it is "bacterial LSU rRNA". It matches the Rfam family "Bacterial large subunit ribosomal RNA", at positions 2099 to 2465 of the family's 2925-position model. The record is from RNAcentral.
CUUUACUGUAGCUUUGUAUUGGACUUUGAACGGAUCUGUGUAGGAUAGGUGGGAGGCUUUGAAGCAGGGUCGCUAGAUCUUGUGGAGCCAACGUUGAAAUACCACCCUGGUGCGUUUGAGGUUCUAACCUAGGCCCGUUAUCCGGGUCGGGGACAGUGCAUGGUAGGCAGUUUGACUGGGGCGGUCUCCUCCCAAAGCGUAACGGAGGAGUUCGAAGGUACGCUAGUUACGGUCGGACAUCGUGACGAUAGUGCAAUGGCAUAAGCGUGCUUAACUGCGAGACUGACAAGUCGAGCAGAUGCGAAAGCAGGACAUAGUGAUCCGGUGGUUCUGUAUGGAAGGGCCAUCGCUCAACGGAUAAAAGGUA